GAUGAACGCUAGCUACAGGCUUAACACAUGCAAGUCGAGGGGCAGCAUUCUUCUAGCAAUAGAAGAGAUGGCGACCGGCGCACGGGUGAGUAACACGUAUCCAACCUGCCGAUAACUCCGGAAUAGCCUUUCGAAAGAAAGAUUAAUACCGGAUGGCAUACGAAUAUCGCAUGAUAUUUUUAUUAAAGAAUUUCGGUUAUCGAUGGGGAUGCGUUCCAUUAGUUUGUUGGCGGGGUAACGGCCCACCAAGACUACGAUGGAUAGGGGUUCUGAGAGGAAGGUCCCCCACAUUGGAACUGAGACACGGUCCAAACUCCUACGGGAGGCAGCAGUGAGGAAUAUUGGUCAAUGGGCGCAGGCCUGAACCAGCCAAGUAGCGUGAAGGAUGAAGGCUCUAUGGGUCGUAAACUUCUUUUAUAUGGGAAUAAAGUUUUCCACGUGUGGAAUUUUGUAUGUACCAUAUGAAUAAGGAUCGGCUAACUCCGUG
This 487-nucleotide ribosomal RNA is filed under the name uncultured bacterium. Its description in RNAcentral is "bacterial SSU rRNA". It matches the Rfam family "Bacterial small subunit ribosomal RNA", at positions 28 to 507 of the family's 1533-position model. The record is from RNAcentral.